ACCAGACUCCUACGGGAGGCAGCAGUGGGGGAUAUUGCACAAUGGGGGGAACCCUGAUGCAGCGACGCCGCGUGGGCGAUGGAGUGCUUCGGCAUGUAAAGCCCUAUCAGCAGGGAAGAAAAUGACGGUACCUGACUAAGAAGCCCCGGCUAACUACGUGCCAGCAGCCGCGGUAAUACGUAGGGGGCAAGCGUUAUCCGGAUUUACUGGGUGUAAAGGGAGCGUAGACGGCGGUGCAAGCCAGAUGUGAAAGCCCGGGGCUCAACCCCGGGACUGCAUUUGGAACUGUGCUGCUAGAGUGUCGGAGAGGCAGGCGGAAUUCCUAGUGUAGCGGUGAAAUGCGUAGAUAUUAGGAGGAACACCAGUGGCGAAGGCGGCCUGCUGGACGAUGACUGACGUUGAGGCUCGAAAGCGUGGGGAGCAAACAGGAUUAGAUACCCUGGUAC
RNAcentral lists this ribosomal RNA (446 nucleotides) under uncultured bacterium. Its description in RNAcentral is "bacterial SSU rRNA". It matches the Rfam family "Bacterial small subunit ribosomal RNA", at positions 330 to 793 of the family's 1533-position model. The record is from RNAcentral.